CCUACGGGUGGCUGCAGUGGGGAAUAUUGCACAAUGGGCGCAAGCCUGAUGCAGCCAUGCCGCGUGUGUGAAGAAGGCCUUCGGGUUGUAAAGCACUUUCAGCGGGGAGGAAGGCGUUAAGGUUAAUAACCCUGUCGAUUGACGUUACCCGCAGAAGAAGCACCGGCUAACUCCGUGCCAGCAGCCGCGGUAAUACGGAGGGUGCAAGCGUUAAUCGGAAUUACUGGGCGUAAAGCGCACGCAGGCGGUCUGUCAAGUCGGAUGUGAAAUCCCCGGGCUCAACCUGGGAACUGCAUUCGAAACUGGCAGGCUAGAGUCUUGUAGAGGGGGGUAGAAUUCCAGGUGUAGCGGUGAAAUGCGUAGAGAUCUGGAGGAAUACCGGUGGCGAAGGCGGCCCCCUGGACAAAGACUGACGCUCAGGUGCGAAAGCGUGGGGAGCAAACAGGAUUAGAUACCCUAGUAGUC
Molecule: ribosomal RNA, 465 nt
Filed under: uncultured Klebsiella sp.
Lineage: Bacteria; Pseudomonadati; Pseudomonadota; Gammaproteobacteria; Enterobacterales; Enterobacteriaceae
Description: bacterial SSU rRNA
Rfam family: Bacterial small subunit ribosomal RNA
Source: RNAcentral